Molecule: ribosomal RNA, 371 nt
Filed under: uncultured bacterium
Lineage: Bacteria
Description: bacterial SSU rRNA
Rfam family: Bacterial small subunit ribosomal RNA
Source: RNAcentral
AGAGGUCUCAAGCGUUGUUCGGAUUCAUUGGGCGUAAAGGGUGCGUAGGUGGCGGGGUAAGUCAGGUGUGAGAUCUCGGAGCUCAACUCCGAAACUGCACUUGAUACUGCCUUGCUCGAGUACUGGAGAGGAGAUUGGAAUUUACGGUGUAGCAGUGAAAUGCGUAGAUAUCGUAAGGAAGACCAGUGGCGAAGGCGAAUCUCUGGACAGUUACUGACACUGAGGCACGAAGGCCAGGGGAGCAAACAGGAUUAGAUACCCUGGUAGUCCUGGCAGUAAACGGUGCGCGUUUGGUGUGGGAGGAUUCGACCCCUUCUGUGCCGGAGCUAACGCGUUAAACGCGCCGCCUGGGGAGUACGGUCGCAAGAUUA